This is a non-coding RNA of Rattus norvegicus (Norway rat), 58 nucleotides long. NCBI's taxonomy places the organism in Eukaryota, Metazoa, Chordata, Mammalia, Rodentia, Muridae. The record is from Rfam.
UGGCUCAGCGGUUAAGAGCACUGGUUGUUCUUCCAGAGGUCCUGAGUUCAAUUCUCAG